This 459-nucleotide ribosomal RNA is filed under the name uncultured bacterium. RNAcentral describes it as "partial 16S ribosomal RNA". It matches the Rfam family "Bacterial small subunit ribosomal RNA", at positions 338 to 795 of the family's 1533-position model. The record is from RNAcentral.
CCUACGGGUGGCUGCAGUGAGGAAUAUUGGUCAAUGGGCGGGAGCCUGAACCAGCCAAGCCGCGUGAGGGAAGAAGGUACAGUGUAUCGUAAACCUCUUUUGUCCGGGAACAAAGGCGGGUACUAGUCCCCGGCUGAGGGUACCUUAAGAAAACGCAUCGGCUAACUCCGUGCCAGCAGCCGCGGUAAUCCGGAGGAUGCGAGCGUUAUCCGGAUUUAUUGGGUUUAAAGGGUGCGCAGGGGGCCUGUUAAGUAAGGGGUAAAAGCCCGGGGCUAAACCCCGGCGAGCCGUUGAAACUGGCGGGCUAGAGAGGGAGAGAGGUAGGCGGAAUGCGCGGUGUAGCGGUGAAAUGCUGAGAGAUCACGCAGAACCCCGAUUGCGAAGGCAGCGUACCGGCUCCACACUGACGCUGAGGCACGAAAGCGUGGGUAUCGAACAGGAUUAGAUACCCUUGUAGUC